Molecule: transfer RNA, 93 nt
Filed under: Grifola frondosa (maitake)
Lineage: Eukaryota; Fungi; Basidiomycota; Agaricomycetes; Polyporales; Grifolaceae
Rfam family: tRNA
About the family: Transfer RNA (tRNA) molecules are approximately 80 nucleotides in length. Their secondary structure includes four short double-helical elements and three loops (D, anti-codon, and T loops).
Source: Rfam by way of RNAcentral
GCCCUUAUAGCUCAGUGGUAGAGCGCAUCACUCGUAUUGCCGGCAAAAUGCCCCAACAUGAUGAGGUCGGUUGUUCGAUCCAGCCUGGGGGCA